CAAUAGCGUAUAUUAAAGUUGUUGCGGUUAAAAGCUACGUAGUUGGAUUUCUGCCGAGGACGUCCGGUCCGCCCUCUGGGUGAGUACAUGGCACGGCCUGGGCAUCUUCUUGGGGAACGUAUCUGCACUUGACUGUGUGGUGCGGUAUCCAGGACUUUUACUUUGAAGGAAAUUAGAGUGUUUACAAGCAGGCACACGCCUUGAAUACAUUAGCAUGGAAUAAUAAGAUAGGACCUCGGUUCCUAUUUUGUUGGUUUCUAGAGCUGAGGUAAUGAUUAAUAGGGAGUAGUUGGGGCAUUCGUAUUUAACUGUCAGAGGUGAAAUUCUUGGAUUUGUUAAAGACGGACUACUAGCGAAAGCAUUUGCCAAGGUA
RNAcentral lists this ribosomal RNA (373 nucleotides) under uncultured eukaryote. RNAcentral describes it as "SSU rRNA". It matches the Rfam family "Eukaryotic small subunit ribosomal RNA", at positions 592 to 965 of the family's 1831-position model. The record is from RNAcentral.